AGUGGGAUAGCUGGAUCAAAUGGUGGUUACAUUCCAAGUUUUCUGAGGAAUCUCCAUAUUACUUUCCAGAGUGGUUGCACCAAUUUAAAGUCUCACCAGCAAU
This 103-nucleotide microRNA precursor is filed under the name Marmota monax (woodchuck). The record is from RNAcentral. Lineage: Eukaryota; Metazoa; Chordata; Mammalia; Rodentia; Sciuridae.